RNAcentral lists this long non-coding RNA (520 nucleotides) under Homo sapiens (human). Its description in RNAcentral is "non-protein coding lnc-KATNAL2-4:1". The record is from RNAcentral. Lineage: Eukaryota; Metazoa; Chordata; Mammalia; Primates; Hominidae.
AAGACCUAGAAAGUAAUCCCUGCUGCCCUUUCGCUGGCCCAGGAAGGGGUAAAUCACAGAUCAGUGUCAGAGGUGCGAUGAAAACCCAGGAGUUCUGAUUCCUGGGUCACCAUGCUCCCUUUGCCAAGGGUGGAGCCGACACCAACAGACUCUUAGCUCCUGUGCCCUGUGCAUCCUGGUGUUCGUGCACGUGCUGCACGGAUCAUUUGCUCUGGAGAAAGCCAGCAGGCAUGAGAGGCCCAUGUGGUGAGGAACUGAAGCCUCCUGCCCACAGCCACAUGUGUGAACUUAGAAAUUAGAAGAUCUUCUAGCCCAGUCAAUGGCUGUACAAUGGCUACAACCCUGGCUAAUACCUUGACUUCAACCUCACGAAACACUGAGCUAGAACCACCCAACUAAGCUGUUCCUAGAUUCCUCACCAUCAGGAACUGUGUGCUGUAAAAAUGCUUGUUAUUAUAAGCCACUAAAUUUUGAAGUGUUGUGUGACACAACAAUCUGUAAAUAAUUCAGAAUAGUAAAA